GAUGAAGAACGCAGCGAAAUGCGAUAAGUAAUGCGAAUUGCAGAAUUCAGUGAAUCAUCGAAUCUUUGAACGCACAUUGCGCCCGCCAGUAUUCUGGCGGGCAUGCCUGUUCGAGCGUCAUUACAACCCUCAGGCCCCCGGGCCUGGUGUUGGGGAUCGGCGGAGCCCCCCGUGGGCACACGCCGUCCCCCAAAUACAGUGGCGGUCCCGCCGCAGCUUCCAUCGCGUAGUAGCUAACACCUCGCGACUGGAGAGCGGCGCGGCCACGCCGUAAAACACCCAACUCUUCUGAAGUUGACCUCGAAUCAGGUAGGAAUACCCGCUGAACUUAAGCAUAUCAAUAAGCGGAGGA
Molecule: unclassified non-coding RNA, 352 nt
Filed under: soil metagenome
Description: partial contains 5.8S ribosomal RNA, internal transcribed spacer 2, and large subunit ribosomal RNA
Rfam family: 5.8S ribosomal RNA (bases 1-120)
Source: RNAcentral